CACAAAUGUUCACCUAUCACCUCCUUUCACCAAGUUCUUUUCCAAAUGUUUUCUUCUUCUCUCAUUUUUCAGCCUUUGCUAAUUUAACAUUUUCUUCUGUUACUUCUUAUCUGGUUGGUCUUAGCUUCUUUUGCUAAAAAAACUUUCCUUCUGGUAUAUCAACAUUUAGAUGAUCAUGAAGUUUUCUUCACUCAUUGACUUGGUUUCCAAUUGUAAU
Molecule: long non-coding RNA, 217 nt
Organism: Limulus polyphemus (Atlantic horseshoe crab)
Lineage: Eukaryota; Metazoa; Arthropoda; Merostomata; Xiphosura; Limulidae
Exons: 3
Source: RefSeq, a predicted model, not a curated record